RNAcentral lists this ribosomal RNA (257 nucleotides) under uncultured bacterium. RNAcentral's name for it is "partial 16S ribosomal RNA". It matches the Rfam family "Bacterial small subunit ribosomal RNA", at positions 526 to 779 of the family's 1533-position model. The record is from RNAcentral.
CGGGGGGGGCAAGCGUUGUUCGGAAUUACUGGGGCGUAAAAGGGCUCGUAGGCGGCCAACUAAGUCAUGCGUGAAAUCCCUCGGCUUAACCGGGGAACUGCGUCUGAUACUGGAUGGCUUGAGUUCGGGAGAGGGAUGCGGAAUUCCAGGUGUAGCGGUGAAAUGCGUAGAUAUCUGGAGGAACACCGGUGGCGAAGGCGGCAUCCUGGACCGAUACUGACGCUGAGGAGCGAAAGCCAGGGGAGCAAACGGGGAUU